This is a long non-coding RNA of Sciurus carolinensis (gray squirrel), 5443 nucleotides long. RefSeq lists it as uncharacterized. The record is from RefSeq and is a predicted model, not a curated record. Lineage: Eukaryota; Metazoa; Chordata; Mammalia; Rodentia; Sciuridae. The transcript has 3 exons.
CGAUACGUACUCACCUCCCAGGGGUCACUUCCGUCGGGCUGUAGACCUGUGCUGAGUUAAUUCAAGCCGGCCUGGAAGUGGGCCUGAAACCUCCGGUAGGCACGGACACCCGCGGGGCUGCGGGGAUCGGAUUAGAACCACCGAGGGAAGGCUCAUUAAGAGUCUAGAGAGGGGCUGGGGAGAUAGCUCAGUCGGUAGAGUGCUUGCCUUGUAAGCACAAGGCCCUGGGUUCGAUCCCCAGCACCCAAAAAAAAAAAAAAAAAAAAAAAAAAGAGUCUAGAGAAAGAGCGAAGAGCUAUUUCCUUCCGGCUGGGACUCCAAUAGCUCGCUACUGGACAUGCGUAGGACUCACGAACAAAAAGGAAGCGGACGUACCAGGCGUCUCCGCUUUUACUUUCCACUGAUUGGCCUGGACCCUGUCAUUCACUCCUCCGAGCUUUACGAGCCGGAAGUCUGGUUUAGGCUCUGAGAGAAGGUCGGGCCCUGGAAGUUGAAAAGCUCCAGACCCGCACCUUUCUUCCAACCAGGCUCAACUACAGAAGAGACUGGUUUUUUGCAGGAGUGAAGACACCAACCCCAAAUCCCAAGAGCUGUCUGACUGGAGGUCACUGAGAAUUUUGACAGAAAUAUUAAGGGCAAACAUGGGAGUCUGUAUCCUAAAAACAUUUAUUUCCAGGAAACUGGAUGGUUUCUAUUGACUGGCGACCUGGUCUUACCCCUUCUCUCUCCAGCAGGAUUAAAAGGCAAGUCAGUGGACCCUGGAGUGGUAAAUCUAUCAGAUUCCUUCUAUAAAGGUGGUUCUCUUGCUGCUACAGAACUCUGCUGUACACGCCUAUGCCCAGCUCCCGCCCACAACAGUCCUCCCUUCCCAGAAAUAGGGCACACAUUUGAGUACAAUACACUUUAUUAGAGGGGCAGGCCUGCUAAUAGACUUAGAUGAUGCUCACAGCUGGAGAGGCUGCUGAUAUGCCCUUCCUGAUGACCAGAAUCCACAGGCAGAGCUGUAAUGCACCUUCCCCAUACCCAGCUCUCUACAGUAGUAAAGUAGGGCCCCUGUAAGGCUGGAGUCAGUGCCGGCAAAGCAGGGCUGUGUGACUGGUUGUGAUCCAAAACUCAGGAGAGGAUGUCAAAGGGCAGCUGUGGAGGAGAGGCAAGAGUGUUCAGUGUUCCAGUGCCCAUCAGCCAAAGCUGCUUCUGUCCUCACUCUCAGUGCAACGGUAGUGUGUGCAUGAGCCAUGGGUCAAGGGCAGCCCCUCACUUUUUAUCCUGGUUGGGUUGGAUAAGCCCAUAUUCCACUGAUUUCCCUAAGCAGGCUGCAGCAGCCCGAGUAAUAGGGUCUUCCUCGCCCUUAGCCAGGACUGACAGGAUCUCUAGCACCUCACUCUCCAUCAGGGUGCUGGCAAUCUCCCUGGAGGCCUCCACCAUAUUCAACACCACCACAACACCCCGGUGCUGCAGUUCCUGGUUGGGACUCAGAAGCAGGGCCUGUAGGAUCUCCAGCCAAUGUGUGGUCUGCAAGAAAUAGGGCAGGUUUGACUAUACAACAACAGGCCCAAUCCUACUGAACACACCUACACUCUAGAACAUCCCCCACCAAUAUCAUGAGGGUUCACCCAUCCUCCCCCGCUGAGAACAGCACUGACCACUUGGGGGAUGCGGCUGCAGAGCGAGGGUCUCAUUGAGGUGAGCAUGGCCAGGCCUCCAGCAGCUGCCCGCCGUAACAAUUCAUCAUCUUCUCCACUGUAUAGCACCAGCAGCUUUAGCCGGUCAUUGCCCUGGGCUUCAAAGAGGUCCUGCACCUGUGGCCAGAUGGGGGAAGAGGAGCAUGUUAUCUGGGUGCAAAGCCCAUCCAGGGCACAGGGCCAACUGCAUCUCUGCAUGACAUGACAACUUGGACCAACCCUCACCUCCUUGCUCAUGGCCAAGUUACACAUGCACUCUGUGGCUGCCCGGCGGAUCAUCUCAUGCUCCUCAAACAUGUAACCCUCGAUCAUGGGCACAGCUUUCUCCUUUAGGAUCUUCUGUCUGAACACAGAGGUGGAACAGUCAGCAUCAACAGGGCUUCUAUAACCACCUCCCAGCCAACAGACACAUCCCUUGAGCCAGGAGUUUCCCUUGAGAAUAUCUAUUGACUCUGCUGUACCAGAUGUGAACUGCAGUUGUUUUUACCCUUCUGACUAGGCCUACGAAAUAGCAUAAGACUGUGGAAAAUGCUCAAAAGCAGGAGGCAGGAGACCAGAAUGGUGGUGAUACCAGUGCUAACCCCUGACAUGUGAGCACUUAACCUGUUCAGCUGUUUGGAUUAUUUUACUUACUCCUCACUACAACCCCACUGUGAAAGCAGGCUUGACAACACUCCCUGCUCAGAUGCUAUUCACCUGAGGUCUCUCAUUGAGUUACCCAAACUCUUGCUGAAGCACCUGUUAAGAGUUAGACAUUGUGCUGGGCCCUGGGGCCAUGGAAGUAAGUGAGAAAAGGGAAAGGGAAAGGGAGGUGAACUCAGGACCCUAAUGGACACAAAAUGCUGAGGGACUCUGAGGAACCCACCCACAUCAGUAUCAUUCACUCUGUAGGAAGCAAUUCCUGCUGGUCACUAAUAAUGUCCUUCCAUGCCAUAUCCAACCCUGAUAUCUGGCAUGACAACUACUGAGUCAUGUUUUAUAAGCAAAAGGCUCAGCAUCAGGAAGAAAUAUGUAAACCAGCUUACCUUGCCUCCCCCCUGAGCAACCACGGUGCCUCGUUCCUCCACCUCUUCCACCAAAGCCAGAAAGACCCUGUGGGGAGAAGGCAGUAGUGGGUGGAGGGGUCUGGGGUUCUGACAGGCAGAUACUCUAUUCUUGGGCUCAACAAAGAAAGGCAGGCAAGUGGUGGCCCUUGCUCCAAGAGGCCCACAGUCCCAGGACCUCUUCCACCUGCAGUCACACUAGCAGCCCAACGAGGUCUAAGAGUUGGGAGAGAUCUCACCCAACCCAAGGCAUUUCACCUGGAGAGCAGCUCUCUGCAGGAAUUAGUCAGCACCGGGCUCUCGGUCUUCACCAUACAUGUCAUGGCUGACACCACACCUGCUGCCAGUAGCUUCUUCACCCGAGCCCUCACAAAGCUUGGUUUGUCCUGGAGAAGGAUAUAGCUUAGGAGGGGCCUUGGCUGACCAGACAGGGAAAGGGAGCCCUUCUCACAGCAGAAAUUGAUGAACAUGGAAACAGCCAGCUGGUCUCAACAACAAAGAAACCCCAAGCCUCUUCUAGUGUACCCCUUACCUUAGGGUGCUGCUCAGGCACAUGUUGCUUAGCAUAUUUGGCUAGCUCCACCAUCUUGGGGUCAGGCUCCUCAUAGUCAUAGCUGUUGGUGCAAUUCACCAGUGCUGAAGCCACUGCAAAGAGCACCGACCUCUCCUCGGACUGCCAGGAACAGAGGAAGGUUCAGCUGGCCAGUCCAGGACAGAGUGGUGAAUGCUGCUAGUUCCAGGGCCCGAUUCCACCCUCAGCUGUUCCACCUGGACAUCAGGGUGAAUCUGGGAACCUCCCAAGACCCCAGACUUAGGAAGCUUACAAACUUGACCUCCCCAACUCCUCCAAAAAGCUCAUCUUUCCUGACACUGCUGGUGCCCAGGCCACAUAGGUACUCAGGCUGCCAGCUCUUGCUCCCUGGAGUUGCAAUAUCACUUCUAAGACCUGCCAAACUGUAUACUAAGUGGUGUCCCCAGGGUGACAGCAGGAACCCACAGAGCUACCUUGCUGAACUGGAACAGAGCCUUCAGAGCAGCCUCAUCCUCCACAAACUCUUCUUUUACAUCAGCAUCAAAGGUAAGGUAAGCCAGGCCCUCCACCGCCCAGCGCCGAGUGCCUGCAUCAAUCUGGUCAUUGCAUAGCCACCUGGGGACAUGCAGGGGAGUGAAUGACCAUCUGAACUGGGGAGUUGGAAAGACUAUAUUAGGGUAAAGAAAAGUCAGGGGCUUAGGCUUCCUGUCAGCAUGCAGAAACAGUUAAUGUGCCAGAAUCCAGAAGAGUCUGCCUAGGGGAGAGAAGUCCCUUCCUGGGACAGGGAGCCCUCCACCCAGAUUCCCCCUGACCCCCCAAGCUUUGACAGGUGUGGAGCCACAGCAACACACACAACUCACUUUCGACACUGCUUGGCCAGCUUCAAAGUGGAGCCUUCAGCAAAUUGCUUCAUGCUAAAGUCAGUCCCUCCAGCUGAGCCAAGCUUGCAGAGUCCCUGGAAAAAGAAGAUGCGACCCAUUACCUGGACCCUGGGAUGGAGACAGGAGCUGACCACCUCCAUGCCUGGCUUGGGAUUCCUACCAAAUCCUCUGCUGCGGCUCUUGAAGUCAGAUACUCAAAUCAGCACCUCAGCAUGAAGCAAUAUGAUCACCUGUUGAGGUGGCCACAUGACAUAGUCUGGUAGAGACUGGCUUCCUGGGCCCCACACCUUCCCAGUCUACACUGAGAAUUGUUCUGUUCCAUUCCAGGUCAUACAAUAAACCUCUUUUUAAGUGGAGCUAAGAUGUAUGUGGGGAAAAGAUAGGUACUUUAGCACAGCCUUAUGGGACGCAGAAAUCCAAGAGUAAGUGACCCAAGGAGAAAGGACAGCUUCCACAAGUCCAUAGACACAGUAGGUUCAUGGAAGGCUAUACAAUGCCCAAGCCACCAGCUCCUGAGGAUACUGCCUGAUUCCUGCAAACCCAGCCUUUCCACACAGCCUUUCUCACUAGCAAGGGGGACAGUAUGUGACACCGUAUAUUCCCAACUCUCCUUUUUGUACCUGACUUGACUGUGGUGGGAGGAACCAGGCCCAGGCCCUACACAUAAUUUCACCUAGAAGGUGCUAAGACUGCAUAUGAGACCCCAGCCAGGUCAGCACCCCUGCUCAGCUGCCUCCAUGCCCAACCUCAGUUUGCCCAUCUUUGUCAAUGAAUCUUUGUCAAUGAAUCUUUUAUUUUAUUUAUUUAUAUGUGGUGCUGAGUAUUGAACCCAGGGCUUCACACAUGCCAGGCAAGCACUCUACCACUGAGCCACAACUCCAGCUAGCUUGCCCAUCUUACCACCAGUGCCCGGAUGCGGAUGCUAUCCUUCUCACUACGCUUAUACAGGUCCUUUAGCAGCGAGACACCAUUGGCAGUGAUGAAUGAGGCCCGCUUGGCCUUGCCGGCUGCAUGGAUCAAAGCCUCCACAGCCACCAGCUGCUCUUCCUCCUGCUCAGAGGCACACAGAGCAAUCACACUCUCCAUGACACCACUCAGCUCCAAAGCCCGGUUGCCAGCAUCACAUGGGCCCUGCAGGAGGCAGGACACUGUCUGGAUGGCCCGUAGCUUCCCGGCCAGCCCUUGGCCCUCAAACCAGCUCCUGAGGGGAACAGAGUUGACAGCUGUCACACCAAGGCACGCAUAAAGCCAGGUACAGUGGCAUACAACUGUAAUCUCAGUGACUCAGGAGGCUAAGACAGAAGG